This 581-nucleotide long non-coding RNA is filed under the name Homo sapiens (human). RNAcentral describes it as "PYDC2 antisense RNA 1". Lineage: Eukaryota; Metazoa; Chordata; Mammalia; Primates; Hominidae. The record is from RNAcentral.
UUUCUUCUCGUCUGUCGCCAUGUGAGAUGUACCUUUCACUUUCCUCCAUGAUUGUGAGGCCUCCUUAGCCACAUGGAACUGCCCUGGCAAUCACUAUUCCAGUCUCUGCUUCUAUGAGUUUGACUAUUUCAGAUUCCACAUGUAGGAAAUGCUGGAGUCCUUCAUCCGAAUGAAUGGCAAGGAUUGAAGACCGAAAAAAAUCAAGCGUUGAGGAGAGUGACAAAUGGGGAGACAGCCGUGGUGCAUGAUCGCCGAAUAAAUACCAUGUGAGGAUACAGCAAGAAGGUGGCCAUCUACAAGCCAAGGAGACAGGCCUCAGAAGAAACCAACCCUUCUUACACCCUGGACUCAGACUUCUAAUCUCCAGAACUUGUUAAUGCACAAGGUCUUGUGUUGAAAAUGUAGAGCCACGAGAUAAAAGCAGCUUGGAUGGCUGACUCAUAUACAAGGACAACUGCCUGAGAGUCACCAGGGCUAUCAAGAAGUUUGCAGAAACAAGAAAUAAACUUUUACUGUUUUAAACUUUUGUGAAUUUUGGGUUUUGUUUAUCACCAAAUAAACCUAGUCUAUUCUGAUUGUUA